UAUUAAUCAGUUUCUCAUUUUCAUUGGCUUCGAUACAUGAAAACUGUUGCAUCUUUUAAUGUACCAGUAACAGUAUAUCGAUGUCUCAGGAAAUGUCAACUGAAUAAUGUACCAAUCUGACCGCCGCGUUGCAUAUACAGUAGUAGGGAGCUCAAGAUAACCAAAUCUACGAUGCGGACUUGACAAGAAAGUAUAUACCGCUAUUACUGUAUCCCAGUUUCACGUCAUGGGUGUAAACUAUGGAUUAUUGUUGCUAAACAAAGCCAGGGAAACGAGAAAAUCAAAGUAAACUAUAGCUUCC
Paramuricea clavata is the source of this 301-nucleotide non-coding RNA. The record is from the annotation of a GenBank genome assembly. Lineage: Eukaryota; Metazoa; Cnidaria; Anthozoa; Malacalcyonacea; Plexauridae.